AGAGUCCUAGGUUCCUACUGUUGUGAUGAGAGAUUGGUCUCGUCUACAGUGCCUUUCUGUAUGUGAGCCAAAUAAUGAGAGAUGCUGACAAACAUUAUAUAAAACCAAUUACAAAAUGUGAAAGUAGCACACAGACGGAUACACACAUACUGCCACCAACGAUUGUGAGAUCAUAUGAGUGGAAUGAAUGGGAAUUAAGAAGAAAAGCUAUAAAAUUGGCUAAUUUGCGCCAGAAAGUUACUCACUCAGUACAAACUGAUCUUAGUCACUUGAGAAGAGAAAAUUGUUCCCAAGUGUACCCUCCAAAGGACACUAGCACCCAGUCCACGAGGGAAGACAGCACUGGGGUGCCCAGGCCUCAGAUUUACUUGGCUGGUCUUCGUGGAGGAAAGAGCGAAAUCACCGAUGAGGUCAAGGUGAACUUAACUAGAGAUGUGGAUGAAACCUAAUUACAGACAACGUUUUAAAAUAGAUGCUACUCAAUUAUGAACAAUAGCAAGUACUUCAAGACAAUGUCACUUUAUUAUUCAAGUUAUACUGCUUGGCAGUGAUGACCCUGAUGGCUGCAGUCUAUACCAUAGCU
This 583-nucleotide small RNA is filed under the name Pan troglodytes (chimpanzee). RNAcentral's name for it is "processed transcript". The record is from RNAcentral. Lineage: Eukaryota; Metazoa; Chordata; Mammalia; Primates; Hominidae.